UUGAACGCUGGCGGAAUGCUUUACACAUGCAAGUCGAACGGCAGCACGGGGGCAACCUUGGUGGCGAGUGGCGAACGGGUGAGUAAUACCUAGGAACAUGUCCAGUAAUGGGGGAUAACGCAGCGAAAGCUGUGCUAAUACCGCAUACGCCCCAUGGGGGAAAGGGGGGGAUCGCAAGACCUCUCGCAGUUGGAGCGGCCGAUGGCGGAUUAGCUAGUUGGUGGGGUAAAGGCCUACCAAGGCGACGAUCCGUAGCUGGUCUGAGAGGACGACCAGCCACACUGGAACUGAGACACGGUCCAGACUCCUACGGGAGGCAGCAGUGGGGAAUUUUGGACAAUGGGGGCAACCCUGAUCCAGCCAUUCCGCGUGAGUGAAGAAGGCCUUCGGGUUGUAAAGCUCUUUCGGCAGGAACGAAACGGUGGAGGCUAAUACCUUUCAUCAAUGACGGUACCUGAAGAAGAAGCACCGGCUAACUACGU
Molecule: ribosomal RNA, 482 nt
Filed under: uncultured bacterium
Lineage: Bacteria
Description: bacterial SSU rRNA
Rfam family: Bacterial small subunit ribosomal RNA
Source: RNAcentral